CCAGCUGGCCGGGCGGCCGCACCUGCGAGAGCUGAAAGGCUGUGGGUGAGGAAAGUCCGGGCUCCAUGGAAACACGGUGCCGGUUAACAGCCGGCGGGGGCGACCUCAGGGAAAGUGCCACAGAGAGCAGACCGCCACGAAGUUCGUGGCAAGGGUGAAAGGGUGGGGUAAGAGCCCACCGCGCGACCGGCAACGGGAGCGGCAUGGUAAACCCCACCGGGAGCAAGACCGAAUAGGGGCGGUGCGAGGGGAAACCUUCGAGGGCUGUUUCCGGCUCACCGUCCGGGUAGGUUGCGUGAGACGCCUGGCAACAGGCGUCCAAGAUGAAUGGCCGCCACGUUCUCGCGCCGUAAGGGGCGAGGGCCAUACAAAACCCGGCUUACAGGCCAGCUGGCAUU
Molecule: RNase P RNA, 398 nt
Filed under: Mesorhizobium sp. Root157
Lineage: Bacteria; Pseudomonadati; Pseudomonadota; Alphaproteobacteria; Hyphomicrobiales; Phyllobacteriaceae
Description: Bacterial RNase P class A
Rfam family: Bacterial RNase P class A
About the family: Ribonuclease P (RNase P) is a ubiquitous endoribonuclease, found in archaea, bacteria and eukarya as well as chloroplasts and mitochondria. Its best characterised activity is the generation of mature 5'-ends of tRNAs by cleaving the 5'-leader elements of precursor-tRNAs.
Source: Rfam by way of RNAcentral